GGCAGUUCAGCUCACUCCGUAGAUGAGUGAUGGAAAGAAAAACUGGCUGUAUCCGCACAAAAUACACAAGCAAAACCUAAACGGGCUUCUGAGCGGGAGUAAAAGACCACCCCAGAAAAGAGCUCCUGUAGAUUGGAGGGAAACAAAGAGCCACCAUUCCAGCAGGGCUGCAGGACAAAGCAGCUCAGCGUGGCAACUGCGAACAUGGAAAAAGGAUCACAAGCAGAAAUAAGGUGACACGGAGAAGAGAUAGCCAGGCACCAGGAGGGAUGUCAGAAUAAGGGGAUGUAGAAUAGGAAGUGACCAAACUCAGAAAGGAAAUUGAAGAAAAAGACGCAGCUGUUUUAGAAAUAAAGAUGGAGCCAUAUAGAAGCCAAGAGACAAUGGACGUUUCAGAAAGUCUAUUAUAGAAAUGGAGGAAUGGUCAGAAGUCAGGAAAAAGCUGAAGAUCCUGAACGUUUUUCAUGCAACUUCCCACAAACUUCUAGGAAAAUAUAAAAAAUACAACAAAGCUCAGAACUGAAAAAGAGAGAUGGCUCCUUACCUGCCCCUGUGUGUUGCGUCUGGCAUUGACUUCAACAGCAGCUUUUUAAAGCCGGUUUCUCCUGUUUGCAAACAUAAGGAUGGAAGAGUAGCAAUGAGCUUUGUUGGGGAACAGCCGGAGGGCACAGAGGAGGAGUGACAAGACCCCAGAGGACCCAGGGAAAGGAGCAGGCAGGUCGGCGGCCGCAGCUUCACCCGGGCCGGAAGUGGACGAUGAGACUCAAGGGGUCAGAGCAAGAGGAAGACGGUUCACUGCUCGGGGCACAGGGAGACCAGAGGCCCCAGCAUGCAAUAGCCAGGUCCAGACAGUGGCUGCCAUGGAGUGAGCUGUACCCAGGGGAGCAACCCGGGCCAAGGCGUCAGUCCCUCUGACAGCCACCCAGGCCACCUCCUGGGAAUAAGUCGUCAUGAGCUGUCAGUCUAGAUUACUGAAUGCUUGCGUGACGAGCUACAGGGAGGGCUCAGGGCUGGGGCAGCUGAGCCUGGAGAUUUGGAUCAAUCAUCAGGGGCCUGCAGGGCCACUUUCACCCUCCCACCCCGUGGUCCUACAUGUCCUCAGCAGAACUCGGAUUUUCACAGGGAUGUCCUCUGAUCAGGUCCUCAGCUUAGACCCAGCACUGGGUCUCAUUUGAUGAGGGUUUUUGUCAGCAGACUCACAGGCAGCAGCAUGCAGCCAGCCUAUGGUUCUGACCUGGGCUGUGCACCCAGGACCCAUCCAAGGGAGCCCCCCACAGAGGGGAUGGUCAUCUUGUUCCUGGUCACCGUGUAGCUUCUUGCUUGUGGGAUGUGAAUUGUUCAGCCUUUCUGGUGGCAUGAAUCCAAACACAGCAGGAAGUGUUGUUGACAACACAGCCCAUUCCCUGUUCAGCCAGCGGCACCGUCUUCUGCAGCCAACCGUCCAGUCUACCAUGACUGUCCGAGGGAGAGUGGAGUGGCCUCUGCUGACCCGGGGCUUGUGCUGUCUUCUGGACUUCCUCAGCUCUCGCCUCUGGGGAAUGGGCUUUGACUUCUGGGAAUAGGACUCACUGUGGUGUGUAGCCCAGCGUUGCUGAGAGGCAUGAUUCCGUGCCAUCUGGAGUCCCUGUAUUGGCCUGAAGCAUGGGGUCCGGAGUGAGGCAGACUGGGGGCUGCCAUGUACCCUCUAAGCGCAUAACUUUCUCCUUUUCUCAUCCCGCAGAUUCAUCAGUCUCCCAUUUGGUAGAGCCGAGAGAUUCCUGGAGCUCUCUCAUUGCGGGACCUCCCCUUGGUGCCCUCUGUAGGGGUGCACUGUCCUGCGAGAUGGUGGGGUUUGUGGGGGUGAGGGGGGCUGCAGUCCUGUAGGACCUCCCCUUGGUACCCUCUGCAGGGGCACGUCCUGCGGGACGGUGGGGUUUGUGGGGGUGAGGGGGGCUGCAGUCCUGUAAGAUCUCCCCUUGGUGCCCUCGGCAGGGGUGCACUGUCCUGUAGGAUGGUGGGGUGUGGGUGAGGGUGGCUGCAGUCCCGCUGUUCUCCUUGAGUGGGAUCCUGGGCUCUCUCCCAGCCCUUGCCACCCAGAAAACCAGACAGCAGCCUGGAGCCACUUGUUUGCUGGCUGUGGUCCGGCAUCUUGGCAGUUCUGUUACCCACUCUGCUGCCUCAAUCCUGCAGACAUCACUUGACGUUUCUGGCAUAAACUUUGCCUGAAAACAUACAUUUAAAGAUGAUGGCUUAACCUAUUCUUGUGUUGUUUUUUUUUAAAUUAUACUUUAAGUUUUAGGGUACAUGUGCACAAUGUGCAGGUUUGUUGCAUAUGUAUACAUGUGCCAUGUUGGUGUGCUGCACCCAUUAACUCGUCAUUUAGCAUUAGAUAUAUCUCCUAAUGCUAUCCCUCCCCCUACCCCCACCCCACAACAGGCCCCAGUGUGUGAUGUUCCCUUUCCUGUGUCCAUGUGUUCUCAUUGUUCAAUUCCUACCUAUGGGUGAGAACAUACAGUGUUUGGUUUUUUGUCCUUGCGAUAGUUUGCUGAGAAUGAUGGUUUCCAGCUUCAUCCAUGUCCCUACAAAGGACAUGAACUCAUCCUUUUUUAUGGCUGCAUAGUAUUCCAUGGUGUAUAUGUGCCACAUUUUCUUAAUCUGGUCUAUCAUUGUUGGACAUUUGGGUUGGUUCCAAGUCUUUGCUAUUGUGAAUAGUGCCGCAAUAAACAUACGUGUGCAUGUGUCUUUACAGCAGCAUGAUUUUUAAUCUUUUGGGUAUAUACCCAGUAAUGGGAUGGUUGGGUCAAAUGGUAUUUCUAAUUCUAGAUCCCUGAGGAAUCGCCACACUGUCUUCCACAAUGGUUGAAGUAGUUUACAGUCCCACCAACAGUGUAAAAGUGUUCCUAUUUCUCCACAUCCUCUCCAGCACCUGUUGUUUCCUGACUUUUUAAUGAUCGCCGUUCUAACUGGUGUGAGAUGGUACCUCAUUGUGGUUUUGAUUUGCAUUUCUCUGAUGGCCAGUGAUGAUGAGCAUUUUUUCAUGUUCCUGUUGGCUGCAUAAAUGUCUUCUUUUGAGAAGUGUCUGUUCAUAUCCUUUGCCCACUUUUUGAUGGGGUUGUUUGUUUUUUUUCUUGUAAAUUUGUUUGAGUUCUUUGUAGAUUCUGGAUAUUAGCCCUUUGUCAGAUGAGUAGAUUGCAAAAAUUUUCUCCCAUCUUGUGUUUUUUUAAAGAAAAAGUUUUAUUGGGGUAUAAGUGCUGUAUAAGAAACUCAUAUAUAAAAUCCAAAAUUUGAUACAUUUUGGCAUAUGUGUAUACCAGUAACCCAUUCUUCUUUUUCUUUUUUCUUUUUUUUUUUUAUUUUUAGAGACAGAUUUUCACUCCUGUCGCCCAGGCUGGAGUGCAAUGGCGUGGUCUUGGCUCACUGCAACCUCCACCUCCUGGGUUCAAGCAAUUCUCCUGCCUCAACCUCCCAAGUAGCUGGGAUUACAGCUGGCACCCACCACCAUGCCCGGCUAAUUUUUGUAUUUUUAGUAGAGACAGGGUUUCACCAUGUUGGCCAGACUGAUCUUGAACUCCUGACCUCAAGUGAUCCACCCGCCUUGGCCUCCCAAAGUGCUGGGAUUACAGGGGUGAGCCACUGUGUCCAGCCUCUUCUUUUUCUUUAUGGAAUGGGAUUUUGGAAGCUUACAACGUGCCAUCAUUUUCCUUGAUGUUUUUUCUAUUUAAUAGAAUCAUUUAAAUAUUUCAUAUUUAUCAUUAUAGUUGAAUUAAUUGCUGCAUUGUUUGUGGUUUCUCUGCUCCUUGGCUGUGAUUUAGGAGCUACCAAUAUUGUUUCUAACUCAAAUAAGAGGUCAUCUUAAGUGAAAAAAGGAUGCCUAUUAAAGUCAACAUUUCCAAAUGUUAUAAUAAAAAUGUGCGUGUGUAUAAAAUGCUUUAUUUUAUAGUUGUUCCCUCAGUACCGAUGCUCAUUAAUACAUUCCUGAGUUUACACUUCUGCAUUUUUAUUUGUUCUCAUCCAGGAAAGCUUUCAGUUUUUAACUUGAAAUCCAGUCGUUUUGUCAAGAUGUGAGUGGUAGUUCAUGUCUCAAAAUAAUUCACCUGGAGCAUAUUGAGCCUGUAGAUCAGAAUUUUUUUUGCCCCCAGCGGAAAGAGGUUUUUUUUUUUGUUUCUGUUUUUUUUUUUUCCAUUUAGAAUUUUGUUUCAGUUGUCUUGUUUCUGUUUCACUUUUAAAAAAAUGUUUCCUUAAAGAGAAGAUCAAUGAUUCCUGGGUUAGACUUCCUUUUACUUUCUCUUUAUAUAUUUUUUUCUAUAAUUAAAGAAAAUUACUUUGUGUUAUUCCUUUGAAUUUGUAAAAACUUGUCAAGUGUUUUCUCUGAAUUAUAUAUUGAAUAUUUUAAAUCUCUAGUACUUAAUUUUAAUUCUAGGAUUUUGUUCUGGCUUCCUUGAUCACUUUUCUUCUCCCAUUCAGCUACUUUAAAAGUCCCAGACAAUAUUGAAUAUUUCAUAUGGAUAACAGUAAUAACAGCCAAUACUUUCUGAGUGGAUAUGAAGUGCCAGACACUGUUCUUAGUGCUUUUGUUUAUUAACUCACUUUAUAUCCAAAACACCUUGCUAGACAGGAAGAUUACUAGCCCUAUUUUACAGAUGAGGACAUCAAGGCCUCGAGGAAUUAAAUAACUUGCCCAAGGUCAUAUCUUGUAAGUUUGGAAGCUUGUGUGACUCCAGGCAGCCAGGACACAAGGUCACACCGAUGUGGCUGAUCCACGUGCCUCUACCCUUCUUGGCUUCCUACUUGGAGGGUGGUCAUUUGGUGUGUAAUUGGAGGUGCUCAGCCGAAUUUUUUUUCAAUACUUGCUUUUUUCAAUAUUAAGUAAUUUUCUAACUAAUGCUUUUCUUCCAUGCAAUUUUCUCUCCUCUUCUGCUACGGAAUGUUUUCAUGGAGCUGAUAUUUCUCUGCGUUUUCUGUUUGUUUGCAAUCUCUGAUUUUUAAAUUUUAUUUGAUCUCUGAAACAAAAUAUAUUUAUAGAGGUUUUUAUAGCAGCUGUGGGACUGGAUUUCCUUUGUUCUUUCUAGCUUUUUUUUUUUUUUUGAGAUGGAGUUUCACUCUGUUGCACAGGCUGGAGCUCACUGCAACCUCCACCUCCCAGGUUCAAGCGAUUCUCCUGCAGUAGCCUCCUGAGUAGCUGAGAUUAUAGGUGCCUGCCACCACGCCUGGCUAAUUUUUGUAUUUUUGGUAGAGAUUUUUUUUUUUUUUUUUGAGAUGGAGUUUCACUCUUGUUGCCCAGGCUGGAGUGCAGUAGUGCGAUCUCGGCUCACUGCAACCUCUGCCUUCCGGUUUCAAGCGAGUCUCCUGCCUCAGCCUCCAGAGUAGCUGGGAUUACAGAUGACCACCACCAUGUCUGGCUAAUUUUUUGUAUUUUUAGUAGAGAUGGAGUUUCACCAUGUUGGCCAGGAUGGUCUUGAUCUCUUGACCUCAUGAUCUGCCCGCCUCAGACUCCCAAAGUGCUGGGAUUACAGGCAUGAACCACUGCGCCCGGCCUCUUUCUAGCAUUUAUUAAGGUGGUGAAUAGACCUAAGAAAAUGUUGCCGGCUGG
RNAcentral lists this long non-coding RNA (5569 nucleotides) under Homo sapiens (human). The record is from RNAcentral. Lineage: Eukaryota; Metazoa; Chordata; Mammalia; Primates; Hominidae.